Molecule: non-coding RNA, 360 nt
Organism: Hypanus sabinus (Atlantic stingray)
Lineage: Eukaryota; Metazoa; Chordata; Chondrichthyes; Myliobatiformes; Dasyatidae
Source: the annotation of a RefSeq genome assembly
AUGGUGCGGAGGAUUGUUCGCCUCCCGCUGAUCGUGGCGAUGAUCUCACGGAUUCUGACCGUGUUCGUUGACCAGUCGCCUUCCUCCUUAUCAGUCGUAGAGGGUGAGAUGGCCAGCGUCUCGUGUACGCUGCUGAAAACGGACUAUACACGAAUGUAUUGGUACAGGCAGCGACCCGGCCAGGCAAUAGAUUGUCUCUUCUACUCUGCUGGACAAGGUUCGGUCACGAACUACACAUCCGAUUCCUUCACGGCUACAAGACGCAGCAGCACUCUGUUUAAACUGGAAUUGGGACGGGCAUCGGCCUCCCACUCCGCCGUCUACUACUGCGCUUGUAGUAGCGCACAGAACUUCAGAUAA